This 497-nucleotide ribosomal RNA is filed under the name uncultured bacterium. Its description in RNAcentral is "partial 16S ribosomal RNA". It matches the Rfam family "Bacterial small subunit ribosomal RNA", at positions 28 to 507 of the family's 1533-position model. The record is from RNAcentral.
GAUGAACGCUGGCGGCGUGCCUAAUACAUGCAAGUCGAGCGAACAGACGAGGAGCUUGCUCCUCUGACGUUAGCGGCGGACGGGUGAGUAACACGUGGAUAACCUACCUAUAAGACUGGGAUAACUUCGGGAAACCGGAGCUAAUACCGGAUAAUAUAUUGAACCGCAUGGUUCAAUAGUGAAAGACGGUUUUGCUGUCACUUAUAGAUGGAUCCGCGCCGCAUUAGCUAGUUGGUAAGGUAACGGCUUACCAAGGCAACGAUGCGUAGCCGACCUGAGAGGGUGAUCGGCCACACUGGAACUGAGACACGGUCCAGACUCCUACGGGAGGCAGCAGUAGGGAAUCGUCCGCAAUGGGCGAAAGCCUGACGGAGCAACGCCGCGUGAGUGAUGAAGGUCCUCGGAUCGUAAAACUCUGUUAUUAGGGAAGAACAAAUGUGUAAGUAACUAUGCACGUCUUGACGGUACCUAAUCAGAAAGCCACGGCUAACUACGUG